RNAcentral lists this ribosomal RNA (468 nucleotides) under uncultured bacterium. Its description in RNAcentral is "partial 16S ribosomal RNA". It matches the Rfam family "Bacterial small subunit ribosomal RNA", at positions 28 to 507 of the family's 1533-position model. The record is from RNAcentral.
GACGAACGCUGGCGGCGUGCUUAACACAUGCCAGUCGAACGGAAAGGCCCUGCUUUUGUGGGGUGCUCGAGUGGCGAACGGGUGAGUAACACGUGAGUAACCUGCCCUUGACUUUGGGAUAACUUCAGGAAACUGGGGCUAAUACCGGAUAGGAGCUCCUGCUGCAUGGUGGGGGUUGGAAAGUUUCGGCGGUUGGGGAUGGACUCGCGGCUUAUCAGCUUGUUGGUGGGGUAGUGGCUUACCAAGGCUUUGACGGGUAGCCGGCCUGAGAGGGUGACCGGCCACAUUGGGACUGAGAUACGGCCCAGACUCCUACGGGAGGCAGCAGUGGGGAAUAUUGCACAAUGGGCGGAAGCCUGAUGCAGCAACGCCGCGUGCGGGAUAACGGCCUUCGGGUUGUAAACCGCUUUCGCCUGUGACGAAGCGUGAGUGACGGUAAUGGGUAAAGAAGCACCGGCUAACUACGUG